This 421-nucleotide ribosomal RNA is filed under the name uncultured bacterium. Its description in RNAcentral is "bacterial SSU rRNA". It matches the Rfam family "Bacterial small subunit ribosomal RNA", at positions 355 to 774 of the family's 1533-position model. The record is from RNAcentral.
UAAGGAAUAUUGGUCAAUGGACGCAAGUCUGAACCAGCCAUGCCGCGUGAAGGAUGAAGGUCCUCCGGAUUGUAAACUUCUUUUAUCUGGGACGAAAACGGGAUUUUUAUCUCAAUUGACGGUACCAGAGGAAUAAGCACCGGCUAACUCCGUGCCAGCAGCCGCGGUAAUACGGAGGGUGCGAGCGUUAUCCGGAUUUACUGGGUUUAAAGGGUGCGUAGGUGGGCUUAUAAGUCAGUGGUGAAAUCUCCGAGCUUAACUUGGAAACUGCCGUUGAUACUAUAGGUCGUGAAUUAUCUGGAGGUAAGCGGAAUAUGUCAUGUAGCGGUGAAAUGCUUAGAUGUGACAUAGAACACCAAUUGCGAAGGCAGCUUACUACAUAUAAAUUGACGCUGAGGCACGAAAGCGUGGGGAUCAAACA